This 253-nucleotide ribosomal RNA is filed under the name uncultured bacterium. RNAcentral describes it as "partial 16S ribosomal RNA". It matches the Rfam family "Bacterial small subunit ribosomal RNA", at positions 524 to 776 of the family's 1533-position model. The record is from RNAcentral.
CACGUAGGGUGCAAGCGUUGUCCGGAAUUAUUGGGCGUAAAGAGCUCGUAGGCGGUCUGUUACGUCGGCUGUGAAAACCCGAGGCUCAACCUCGGGCCUGCAGUCGAUACGGGCAGGCUAGAGUUCGGUAGGGGAGACUGGAAUUCCUGGUGUAGCGGUGAAAUGCGCAGAUAUCAGGAGGAACACCGGUGGCGAAGGCGGGUCUCUGGGCCGAAACUGACGCUGAGGAGCGAAAGCGUGGGGAGCGAACAGG